CAGCCGCCGCGGUAAUACAGAGGGUGCGAGCGUUAAUCGGAUUUACUGGGCGUAAAGCGUGCGUAGGCGGCUAAUUGAGUCGGAUGUGAAAUCCCCGAGCUUAACUUGGGAAUUGCAUUUGAUACUGGUUAGCUAGAGUGUGGGAGAGGAUGGUAGAAUUCCAGGUGUAGCGGUGAAAUGCGUAGAGAUCUGGAGGAAUACCGAUGGCGAAGGCAGCCAUCUGGCCUAACACUGACGCUGAGGUACGAAAGCAUGGGGAGCAAACAGGAUUAGAUACCCGAGUAGUCCCUGUCUCUUAUAC
RNAcentral lists this ribosomal RNA (301 nucleotides) under uncultured bacterium. Its description in RNAcentral is "partial 16S ribosomal RNA". It matches the Rfam family "Bacterial small subunit ribosomal RNA", at positions 509 to 807 of the family's 1533-position model. The record is from RNAcentral.